CACAACGAGACGGGUACAUAUAGCCUUGCCCGUCCGUCCGUCCGUCUAGAUUAACGGAAACUCCUCCUACACCUAGUCCUCCUUUAAAUCAUUAAAAAAAUUGGCAACGAUCAGAAAAAUGAAACAUCUCGUGUAAUGUGUGAAUCAAAUAGAAGCGUGCGAAAUAAGAGUCCUGUACAACACUAUAACAGCUAAACUUUGCCACCCACGGCUCGCACAGGGAGAAUACAUGACGAUACAUAUAACACCAGAAGAAAACUUUUCCUAUGUCAGCUUUGAAAGCAAUGUGGCACUAAAUAAUUAUCGGAUGUUAAUAAAUCAAGUUGUCCAAACAUUUAAGCCGGGGAUGUUCAUAGUAACCAUAUUUGCAAAUAAGUCUUCGUUGGCGUACGAAACCAUGAAGGGAUUGGAAAUCGAAUACUCGACGCAGUCACAUUGGAAACAAACCGAUAUGCAGUGCUGUAAUUUUCCGUCUUAUAACCUUUUAUUCGCACAAUAUUUGUAUCGUAAUAAAAACACAAUGUAAUAUGAUUAA
Long non-coding RNA from Drosophila willistoni, 535 nucleotides. RefSeq lists it as uncharacterized. The record is from RefSeq and is a predicted model, not a curated record. The transcript is spliced from 3 exons. Lineage: Eukaryota; Metazoa; Arthropoda; Insecta; Diptera; Drosophilidae.